RNAcentral lists this ribosomal RNA (235 nucleotides) under uncultured bacterium. RNAcentral describes it as "partial 16S ribosomal RNA". It matches the Rfam family "Bacterial small subunit ribosomal RNA", at positions 103 to 334 of the family's 1533-position model. The record is from RNAcentral.
CGCAGGUGAGUAACACGUAUCCAACCUGCCGUCUACUCUUGGCCAGCCUUCUGAAAGGAAGAUUAAUCCAGGAUGGCAUCAUGAGUUCACAUGUCCGCAUGAUUAAAGGUAUUUUCCGGUAGACGAUGGGGAUGCGUUCCAUUAGAUAGUAGGCGGGGUAACGGCCCACCUAGUCAACGAUGGAUAGGGGUUCUGAGAGGAAGGUCCCCCACAUUGGAACUGAGACACGGUCCAA